Small nuclear RNA from Ailuropoda melanoleuca (giant panda), 103 nucleotides. NCBI's taxonomy places the organism in Eukaryota, Metazoa, Chordata, Mammalia, Carnivora, Ursidae. The record is from Ensembl.
GCUCGCCUCGGCAGCAUGCACUAAGACUGGAAUGAUACAGAGAAGAUUAACAUGGCCUUCAUGCAAGGAUGACACAUAAAAGUUAGAAAACAAUAGGAAAUUU